RNAcentral lists this ribosomal RNA (254 nucleotides) under uncultured bacterium. RNAcentral's name for it is "partial 16S ribosomal RNA". It matches the Rfam family "Bacterial small subunit ribosomal RNA", at positions 526 to 779 of the family's 1533-position model. The record is from RNAcentral.
CGUAGGUGGCGAGCGUUAUCCGGAAUCAUUGGGCGUAAAGAGGGAGCAGGCGGCCGCAAGGGUCUGUGGUGAAAGACCGAAGCUAAACUUCGGUAAGCCAUGGAAACCGGGCGGCUAGAGUGCGGAAGAGGAUCGUGGAAUUCCAUGUGUAGCGGUGAAAUGCGUAGAUAUAUGGAGGAACACCAGUGGCGAAGGCGACGGUCUGGGCCGCAACUGACGCUCAUUCCCGAAAGCGUGGGGGAGCAAAUAGGAUU